GACGAACGCUGGCGGCGUGCCUAAUACAUGCAAGUAGAACGCUGAAGAGAGGAGCUUGCUCUUCUUGGAUGAGUUGCGAACGGGUGAGUAACGCGUAGAUAACCUGCCUUGUAGCGGGGGAUAACUAGUGGAAACGAUAGCUAAUACCGCAUAACAAUGGAUGACACAUGGCAUUUAUUUGAAAGGGGGAAUUGCUCCACUACAAGAUGGACCUGCGUUGUAUUAGCUAGUAGGUGAGGUAAUGGCUCACCUAGGCGACGAUACAUAGCCGACCUGAGAGGGUGAUCGGCCACACUGGGACUGAGACACGGCCCAGACUCCUACGGGAGGCAGCAGGAGGGAAUCUUCGGCAAUGGGGGCAACCCUGACCGAGCAACGCCGCGUGAGUGAAGAAGGGUGUCGGAUCGUAAAGCUCUGUUGUAAGUCAAGAACGGGUGUGAGAGUGGAAAGUUCACACUGUGACGGCAGCUUACCAGAAAGGGACGGCUAACUACGUG
This 497-nucleotide ribosomal RNA is filed under the name uncultured bacterium. Its description in RNAcentral is "partial 16S ribosomal RNA". It matches the Rfam family "Bacterial small subunit ribosomal RNA", at positions 28 to 507 of the family's 1533-position model. The record is from RNAcentral.